AUUGAACGCUGGCGGCAGGCCUAACACAUGCAAGUCGAACGAGUGGCGGACGGGUGCGUAAUGUCUGGGCAACUGCCUGAUGGAGGGGGAUAAGUACUGGAAACGGUAGCUAAUACCGAAUACCACCAGAUGUUCCCAGAUGGGAUUAGCUAGUUGGUGGGGUAACGGCUCACAAAGACGAGGAUCCCUAGCUGGUCUGAGAGGAUGACCAGCCACACUGGAACUGAGCAACGGUCCAGACUCCUACGGGAGGCAGCAGUGGGGAAUAUUGCACAAUGGGCGCAAGCCUGAUGCAGCCAUGCCGCGUGUAUGAAGAAGGCCUUCGGGUUGUAAAGUACUUUCAGCGGGGAGGCGUUACCCGCAGAAGAAGCACCGGCUAACUCCGUGCCAGCAGCCGCGGUAAUAC
This 406-nucleotide ribosomal RNA is filed under the name uncultured bacterium. Its description in RNAcentral is "partial 16S ribosomal RNA". It matches the Rfam family "Bacterial small subunit ribosomal RNA", at positions 30 to 526 of the family's 1533-position model. The record is from RNAcentral.